UACGUAGGGGGCAAGCGUUAUCCGGAUUUACUGGGUGUAAAGGGAGCGUAGACGGCGAUGCAAGCCAGAUGUGAAAGCCCGGGGCUCAACCCCGGGACUGCAUUUGGAACUGUGUGGCUGGAGUGUCGGAGAGGCAAGUGGAAUUCCUAGUGUAGCGGUGAAAUGCGUAGAUAUUAGGAGGAACACCAGUGGCGAAGGCGGCUCGCUGGACGAUGACUGACGUUGAGGCUCGAAAGCGUGGGGAGCAAACAGG
This 253-nucleotide ribosomal RNA is filed under the name uncultured bacterium. RNAcentral describes it as "partial 16S ribosomal RNA". It matches the Rfam family "Bacterial small subunit ribosomal RNA", at positions 524 to 776 of the family's 1533-position model. The record is from RNAcentral.